CCUGGCUCAGGAUGAACGCUAGCUACAGGCUUAACACAUGCAAGUCGAGGGGCAGCAUGAGAGUAGCUUGCUACUCUGAUGGCGACCGGCGCACGGGUGCGUAACACGUAUCCAAUCUACCCAUGGCUCGGGAAUAGCCUUUCGAAAGAAAGAUUAAUGCCCGAUGGUCUGUGGUUGAGACAUCUCGGCCCACAGUAAAGAUUUAUCGGCGAUGGAUGAGGAUGCGUCCGAUUAGGUAGUAGGCGGGGCAACGGCCCACCUAGCCUACGAUCGGUAGGGGUUCUGAGAGGAAGGUCCCCCACAUUGGAACUGAGACACGGUCCAAACUCCUACGGGAGGCAGCAGUGAGGAAUAUUGGUCAAUGGGCGCGAGCCUGAACCAGCCAAGUAGCGUGAGGGAAGACUGCCCUAUGGGUUGUAAACCUCUUUUGUUUGGGAAUAAAGUGUCCUACGUGUAGGAUUUUGUAUGUACCAUACGAAUAAGCAUCGGCUAAUUCCGUGCCAGCCGCGGC
Molecule: ribosomal RNA, 511 nt
Filed under: uncultured bacterium
Lineage: Bacteria
Description: bacterial SSU rRNA
Rfam family: Bacterial small subunit ribosomal RNA
Source: RNAcentral